Molecule: long non-coding RNA, 735 nt
Organism: Podarcis muralis (Common wall lizard)
Lineage: Eukaryota; Metazoa; Chordata; Lepidosauria; Squamata; Lacertidae
Source: RefSeq, a predicted model, not a curated record
CUGGUGCAAUGGGAUCUUGAAGCAUCUCUAAGACAGUGUGCAUCAGAGAGAUGAUUGUUGCAUGACAGGAGGUGGCAAGAAAGGUUUCAUCCUUGUCCAGUACUGCCUAUGAGUAAGACACCAUGGAGAAGCAAGAGCUUCAGGGUUUGUGUGAGAACCCAGCCCUAUAUAGUCAACCAUUACAACACUUUCAUUAUGAUGGACAUAAUACAGAACUAUGUCUCGGUGGCAUAAACAACCAAGGUAGAGGAAUCAUGAAUAAAGUCAGCAACCGGUCUCAGAAAAACUUACCAGCUGCAAGCAGACUCCUUCUGCCUUAAGAAGAUGAUCAAAAGUGACUAAGAGCAAACACCCACGUCUAUCUCCAGCCUCACAGCAAGUCUUGCCAUUUUCUUAACCAAGCCACAGAUAUGAAUACGUCUAAAUCUUCAAAGCACUUUUCAUUGACUGAUUAAUCCUAACUACAUCCCUCAGUGAUGGAAACUAGUAUUACUGUCUCCAUUUAGCUGAUGGCUUAGAUGGCUUUGCUUAAGACGGGAUGGAGAUAGAGAUUUAGGGGGAAGAGGGGGGAUUGAACUUGGCAUUUUACAGAGUUCCUACUUUUCCUUAAAGACAACUUUCAGUAGGUCCCAAAUUGUAAGGGUGUUUAGCUCUCAUUCCCCAAAAUGCUCUUUAAAUCAGGCUUCCUCAACCUCGGCCCUCCAGAUGUUUUUGGCCUACAACUCCCAUGAUCCC